GACAGAGGGCGCGAGCGUUGUUCGGAAUUACUGGGCGUAAAGCGCACGUAGGCGGACUCUUAAGUCAGGGGUGAAAUCCUGGAGCUCAACUCCAGAACUGCCUUUGAUACUGAGGAGCUUGAGUCCGGGAGAGGUGAGUGGAACUGCGAGUGUAGAGGUGAAAUUCGUAGAUAUUCGCAAGAACACCAGUGGCGAAGGCGGCUCACUGGCCCGGUACUGACGCUGAGGUGCGAAAGCGUGGGGAGCAAACAGG
This 253-nucleotide ribosomal RNA is filed under the name uncultured bacterium. Its description in RNAcentral is "partial 16S ribosomal RNA". It matches the Rfam family "Bacterial small subunit ribosomal RNA", at positions 524 to 776 of the family's 1533-position model. The record is from RNAcentral.